AACUACACAAUAUCACGUGGCAGCUAAGCCUCUUUGUUUGGUAAACUUCUUAACCAUUCUUUUACUUUUACUUUAUUCGUUUCAUUUUAAUUAUUGUAACUAUUCUGCAUCAGCAAGUGGUUAUCCACUAUUGGAUGCUUUUUAUUUUACUAAUGAUACAUUUAAAUAACACUUGCAUAUUUGUUAAUCUUUUCAUAUCUCGGUACAGGUGUCGCACGCUACGAGGACCACUUCUUUUUCACCUAUUAAGCUUAGUAAUGUGUGCGUGUGUUUUGUUCCUCUCUUGUUCUCGCCAGUAUAAUGCUUUUUUUUUUAAUAUUUUUUUUUGUCAUCUAUAAUGCCUUUUUUAUAAUAUGUGAAUUAUCAUAAAAUGAAUCGUUGUUGUACAUGUUCAAAGAUUAGAGCGGUUAAACCGUCCAUUGCCAAAAAGAAACAACAAAAAGGCUGACAUGUUGAGAUUGGAAAUCAUCUACAGAGAACUAAGAAAAACGAAACCACAGCCGCGGCAUAAUGCUUGUUGAAAUGCCUUUCCUUACCUAAAAACAAGAAACCUAUGUGUAUCAACUUUUGCUGAUAACCAUAAUGAUAAUAGAGAAAAUUAGCUUAAUAUACAUAAUUGAUGGUCAAAUUAGCAAUCUACACAUAAUUUGACAUAUGUGUAAAUUGUUAUAUCUUUCUUAUCUUAAAUUCUUAAAAAUGUUAUUUUUAACGCUUUUUUUUAUACGUUCUUACAUUCU
This 737-nucleotide long non-coding RNA is filed under the name Brassica rapa (field mustard). Its description in RNAcentral is "long non-coding RNA (BRAP_LNC005986)". The record is from RNAcentral. Lineage: Eukaryota; Viridiplantae; Streptophyta; Magnoliopsida; Brassicales; Brassicaceae.